UCCCGUCUAGCUCAGUCGGUAGAGCACGAGACUCUUAAUCUCGGGGUCGUAGGUUCGAGCCCCAAGUUGGGCG
Molecule: transfer RNA, 73 nt
Filed under: Nephila pilipes (giant wood spider)
Lineage: Eukaryota; Metazoa; Arthropoda; Arachnida; Araneae; Nephilidae
Rfam family: tRNA
About the family: Transfer RNA (tRNA) molecules are approximately 80 nucleotides in length. Their secondary structure includes four short double-helical elements and three loops (D, anti-codon, and T loops).
Source: Rfam by way of RNAcentral